Molecule: ribosomal RNA, 302 nt
Filed under: uncultured bacterium
Lineage: Bacteria
Description: partial 16S ribosomal RNA
Rfam family: Bacterial small subunit ribosomal RNA
Source: RNAcentral
GCAGUAGCCGCGGUAAUACAGAGGGUGCGAGCGUUAAUCGGAUUUACUGGGCGUAAAGCGUGCGUAGGCGGCUUCUUAAGUCGGAUGUGAAAUCCCUGAGCUUAACUUAGGAAUUGCAUUCGAUACUGGGAAGCUAGAGUAUGGGAGAGGAUGGUAGAAUUCCAGGUGUAGCGGUGAAAUGCGUAGAGAUCUGGAGGAAUACCGAUGGCGAAGGCAGCCAUCUGGCCUAAUACUGACGCUGAGGUACGAAAGCAUGGGGAGCAAACAGGAUUAGAUACCCCGGUAGUCCCUGUCUCUUAUAA